CACCCAGUAUGGAAGAAAUUAUGGAGUUUGAAAGUUCCUGGGAAAGUAAAGAUCUUUUUGUGGAGAUGCUUACAUAAUGCAAUUCCGUGCUUCGGUGUCCUAGCAAACAGACACAUAGGCCAUGUCUCUCAGUGCCCAAUAUGUCGUUUGGCUGCUGAGGAUAUUAAGCACGCCAUCUUUAGCUGUGAGCGAGCCAAAGCAGUUUGGUCGUCGUUGGGGAUUUGGAAUACUAUAUCUAAUGCUCUACUGGUGGACCGAUCGGGAGCAGCAGUACUGGAAUUUCUAUUGUGUGAUCAAGUGCAUCAGAAGGCGUAUAUGGAUCAGUUUGACCUACCUGAACUUAUAGCGACGGCAAGCUGGUAUAUUUGGUGGCAGAGAAGAAUGCAUGUUAGAGGGGAGGUAGUUCAAACUCCGGCGCGAACAGGACAAGCCAUUCAUGCACUUGCAUUUAAUUUCACCCGUGCGAUGGCCGUUCCUGCGCCAAGACCGAGGAGAAACUCUUGGCCAAUAGUUCUGGCAUCGCAACAGCUCUUGAACGUUGAUGCAUCUUUCCGUGAGGAGGAUCACUCGGGAUCAUGUGGAGCCAUUAUAAGAGACCACAAAGGGAAUUUCAUAGCAGCUUCUACCUCACGUAUUGACCACGUUGCAGACGUAGUCACUGCUGAAGCUGUAGCACUCCGGGAAGGUGUGAAGUUAGCUAUUUCGAUGGGUUGCAAUAACAUCAUGGCGAGGAUGGAUAACUUCAUCGUAGUAAACGCUCUACAGCUGAAUGAAGGACAAUCAAUGGUCGCUGGCCCCGUUUUGGAAGAUUGCAGAGAUUUACUAAGAGGUUUUGGGAAGGUUAUUCUUGAGCAUUGUAAUAGAGAGUCAAAUAUGACUGCUCAUGCGCUAGCUGAAUAUGGUCGUGCAAACGAUCCGUCUCUAUGGAUCGAGGCACCACCAAGUUUCAUUGCCAAUUCUUUGGCAAACGAUGUAUCUGUUAUUUAG
RNAcentral lists this ribosomal RNA (987 nucleotides) under Triticum aestivum (bread wheat). RNAcentral's name for it is "partial small subunit ribosomal RNA". Lineage: Eukaryota; Viridiplantae; Streptophyta; Magnoliopsida; Poales; Poaceae. The record is from RNAcentral.